GAUGAACGCUGGCGGCGUGCCUAAUACAUGCAAGUCGAGCGGACGGACGAGAAGCUUGCUUCUCUGACGUUAGCGGCGCACGGGUGUGUAACACGUGUAUAACCUACCUAUCUGUCUGGGAUCACUUCGGAAAACCGGCGCUAAUCCCGGAUAAUCUUUUGAACCGCAUGGUUCAAAAGUGAAAGACGGUCUUGCUGUCUCUUAUCGCUGCAUCCCCGCUGCAUUAGCUAGUUGGUAAGGUCACGGCCUACCACGGCGACGAUGCAUAGACGAACUGAGAGGGUGAUAGGCCACACUGGAAGUGAGACAGGGUCCAGGCGCCUACGGGAGGCAGCAGUAGGGAAUGUGCCGCAAUGGGCGAAAGCCUGACGGAGCAACGCGGCGUGAGUGAUGAAGGUCUUCGGAUCGUAAAACUCUGUUAUUAGGGAAGAACAGAUGUGGAAGUAAAUGUGCACAGCUUGACGGUACCUAAUCAGAAAGCCACGGCUAACUACGUG
Molecule: ribosomal RNA, 497 nt
Filed under: uncultured bacterium
Lineage: Bacteria
Description: partial 16S ribosomal RNA
Rfam family: Bacterial small subunit ribosomal RNA
Source: RNAcentral